AGGCAUCAGGAUGGUCAAUUGGAGGAUACAUGAUGGUGUAGUGAGGAGAUUAAAGGAGAUCCGAUAUAUGUCUGAUUUCAAAUAAAAUCUUAUCUUACUGAACAGACUAGAUUCGAGAAGCUACAUGAUGGUAGCUGGUGGAGAAAUUCUGAAGGUGUUGCACGACGAUAGGAUUAUUCUGGAGAAAAAGAAGAUGACGAGAGGAUAUUACUAUCUGGUGGGGAGUCCAGUGCGAGGUGG
Molecule: long non-coding RNA, 240 nt
Filed under: Elaeis guineensis (African oil palm)
Lineage: Eukaryota; Viridiplantae; Streptophyta; Magnoliopsida; Arecales; Arecaceae
Description: long non-coding RNA (EGUI_LNC016491)
Source: RNAcentral